Molecule: long non-coding RNA, 1127 nt
Filed under: Rattus norvegicus (Norway rat)
Lineage: Eukaryota; Metazoa; Chordata; Mammalia; Rodentia; Muridae
Description: long non-coding RNA NONRATT032863
Source: RNAcentral
GCAUGAAACUCAGGAAUCACUUCCUGUCUCUGAGAGAUGCUGGGUCCAGAUGUGGGGCUGACUUGCCAACUCAAAUUACCUCAAGAAGUCUCCACUAAAGGAUCCGAAGGCUCAGAAUAUGAUUUCAAUCAAGGAAACAGAGCCCUUCAACACCGAGGCAAGGACAGGUGGCCUUUGACAAACACAGAGACUUGCAGAAGGAACCAUAUUGAAGGUGUUUUGAUUGCUGCAACCUGGAACUGCUGACCCAAGGAACUGUGCUUGGAAAUCCGGAAAGGGGACAUGGUGCUUCCAGCCCACGCAUCACCAGAACCUUCUGGCACGCAGAGUAGCUGGGUCGGGAUUAAGGCAGUGGACUCCUUUAACAAGCCAGGUCUAAUUGUGUCUCUGCAGAUGUUUAAUGGAAGCCAGAAUCCCAGACAGGCAGCUUCAAGAACAAUGCUGGACAGGUUCUCAUGUGGGAACCAGAGACACAAAAGUGGUGGUAGUUAAUCAAGUCCCUGGUUCUUGGGAAGCGACAACACAAAGAGCUGCAGCAUCUGAUCAUUACCCUGGAGCUCAGACACAAGACGCAGUCCUGUCUGAGCCCUCAUAACACUGCUCACGUUAGCGACUCCCCUCCAGCACCAGGCUUCCUCCUGGAGAGAGGAAGCGUGCCUUCUGGCAUCCCUCAGGACUCCAGAGUCUACCCUAGAGUCGAGUCCCAGGGAAGAGAGUUGAUUGGCUCUCAGCGAAUCGCAUGCCCAACUCUGUACUAGGCACUGGAACCGGAGGGAGAUAAGACACAAUGAUUGGCUUUCCCCCGGGUCACGUGAUCACUCUAUCUCGGGGCGUUUCAGCAGAAAGCAUGGAGAAGACUGUUCUUCACAGGUCAUGGAAGCUUGAGUCCCUUGACCAUCUUUCCCACAUCAGGUCCCGCAAAAGUCCUUGAACUAGAUGCAUCCAGCAAGCACUCUAUAAUUGCUGAGAGACAAACUGCUGCUCCCUCCCAACCCAAUAGCACCUUCUCUUUGACAUCUCAGGCCCGAGUGGAUGGAAAGGUAGACUCGUGAUUUGGAAUGAGUUCCUUUUCUCAGUAGGGCCCCACCCCAGGCAGUUUCUCCUAGUUCUGUGAACUAGAAAAGGUG